UUACCCUUCUCAAGAAUUUGGUGCAAAUUCUUGUGCACUAGAAGACUUGAUAGUUAUUGAAUUGUUCAUUAUGGGGUUCUAAUUUCUGUGGCAGGAGAGCCAGUGUAGUCCGACGGUUGAUGAACUGACAUCCGCAAAGUGGGCUGUCCUCUUUAGUAGGGUUGGUGAUAAUCUCUUGAUGUAUCUGUUGAAGUGUACUUCAAUAUUUCUUCCUCUUCCUCGGAAGAAGCACCAUCAGAUUUGUGGCCGUUCCGUUGCCAAAUUGUUCUCCAACUUCCCAAGAGGCAUGCCUAAGUCUAGAGCUCCGCAUCAUCCACCAAGACACGAGGCUAGGAGGCAAAGGGUGGUUAAGAGACUUCCAUGAGGUGUACACGAACAAGCUAAACGGAAGGAGGGUGUAUUCUUUCAAAUGUGCUGGUUUUCGUCCCAGGUACGACGUGGAAAGGAAGAAUGUUAUUUGGUUGGGUUUGCAUGCUUACAGAAGGGUGCUGCUGAAGAAGCACUUAUGGUGAGGUGGAGAACAUGUGACCUGAGCUCAAAUAUUGAUUUUGUGAUGCAUCAAUUCAUAUUCAGUUGGGCAUGGGAUGGAUGAUCUCUUCUUUUGUACAGUAUCUUUUUGGCUUUCUAUGCAAUCGAAUGCCCA
Molecule: non-coding RNA, 643 nt
Organism: Salvia hispanica
Lineage: Eukaryota; Viridiplantae; Streptophyta; Magnoliopsida; Lamiales; Lamiaceae
Source: RefSeq, a predicted model, not a curated record